RNAcentral lists this ribosomal RNA (253 nucleotides) under uncultured bacterium. RNAcentral describes it as "partial 16S ribosomal RNA". It matches the Rfam family "Bacterial small subunit ribosomal RNA", at positions 524 to 776 of the family's 1533-position model. The record is from RNAcentral.
UACGGAGGGUGCAAGCGUUAUCCGGAUUCACUGGGUUUAAAGGGUGCGUAGGUGGGCAAGUAAGUCAGUGGUGAAAUCUCCGGGCUUAACCCGGAAACUGCCAUUGAUACUAUUUGUCUUGAAUACUGUGGAGGUCAGCGGAAUAUGUCAUGUAGCGGUGAAAUGCGUAGAUAUCUGGAGGAAUACCGGUGGCGAAGGCGGCAUCCUGGACCGAGAUUGACACUGAUGAGCGAAAGCUAGGGGAGCAAACGGG